UCGAGUGGCGAACGGGUGAGUAACACGUGGGCAAUCUGCCCUGCACUUCGGGAUAAGCCUGGGAAACUGGGUCUAAUACCGGAUAGGACCUUUAGGCGCAUGUCUUUAGGUGGAAAGCUUUUGCGGUGUGGGAUGGGCCCGCGGCCUAUCAGCUUGUUGGUGGGGUGAUGGCCUACCAAGGCGACGACGGGUAGCCGGCCUGAGAGGGUGUCCGGCCACACUGGGACUGAGAUACGGCCCAGACUCCUACGGGAGGCAGCAGUGGGGAAUAUUGCACAAUGGGCGCAAGCCUGAUGCAGCGACGCCGCGUGGGGGAUGACGGCCUUCGGGUUGUAAACCUCUUUCACCAUCGACGAAGGUCCGGGUUUUCUCGGAUUGACGGUAGGUGGAGAAGAAGCACCGGCCAACUACGUGCCAGCAGCCGCGGUAAUACGUAGGGUGCGAGCGUUGUCCGGAAUUACUGGGCGUAAAGAGCUCGUAGGUGGUUUGUCGCGUUGUUCGUGAAAUCUCACGGCUUAACUGUGAGCGUGCGGGCGAUACGGGCAGACUAGAGUACUGCAGGGGAGACUGGAAUUCCUGGUGUAGCGGUGGAAUGCGCAGAUAUCAGGAGGAACACCGGUGGCGAAGGCGGGUCUCUGGGCAGUAACUGACGCUGAGGAGCGAAAGCGUGGGGAGCGAACAGGAUUAGAUACCCUGGUAGUCCACGCCGUAAACGGUGGGUACUAGGUGUGGGUUUCCUUCCUUGGGAUCCGUGCCGUAGCUAACGCAUUAAGUACCCCGCCUGGGGAGUACGGCCGCAAGGCUAAAACUCAAAGGAAUUGACGGGGGCCCGCACAAGCGGCGGAGCAUGUGGAUUAAUUCGAUGCAACGCGAAGAACCUUACCUGGGUUUGACAUGCACAGGACGCGUCUAGAGAUAGGCGUUCCCUUGUGGCCUGUGUGCAGGUGGUGCAUGGCUGUCGUCAGCUCGUGUCGUGAGAUGUUGGGUUAAGUCCCGCAACGAGCGCAACCCUUGUCUCAUGUUGCCAGCGGGUAAUGCCGGGGACUCGUGAGAGACUGCCGGGGUCAACUCGGAGGAAGGUGGGGAUGACGUCAAGUCAUCAUGCCCCUUAUGUCCAGGGCUUCACACAUGCUACAAUGGCCGGUACAAAGGGCUGCGAUGCCGCAAGGUUAAGCGAAUCCUUUUAAAGCCGGUCUCAGUUCGGAUUGGGGUCUGCAACUCGACCCCAUGAAGUCGGAGUCGCUAGUAAUCGCAGAUCAGCAACGCUGCGGUGAAUACGUUCCCGGGCCUUGUACACACCGCCCGUCACGUCAUGAAAGUCGGUAACACCCGAAGCCAGUGGCCUAACCC
Molecule: ribosomal RNA, 1350 nt
Filed under: Mycobacterium intracellulare
Lineage: Bacteria; Bacillati; Actinomycetota; Actinomycetes; Mycobacteriales; Mycobacteriaceae
Description: bacterial SSU rRNA
Rfam family: Bacterial small subunit ribosomal RNA
Source: RNAcentral